AUGUGCCAACCACAAUGGCUACAAGAAGUUGCCAAUUCCUACGAGACCGACCCCGACUCUCAAGAGCUGCUCACCAAGCUGGCUGUCAUCAACACUGGCGAUCAAGGGCGUACCCUGCAGCAAGGCGUAAUCCGGCAACGCGGUCAACUCUGGAUUGGCGCCAACUCAGCUCUUCAGACCAAACUCAUCGCUGCUCUCCACCAUAGCGCCGUGGGAGGUCACUCAGGCGCCACAGCAACAUAUCACGGAGUGCGCAAACUUUUUGCAUGGCCAGGUCUGAAGCGUGCCAUUGAGGAUUUUGUUCGCCAAUGCAUUGUCUGCCAGCAUGCCAAGCAUGAGAACACGCACCCGGCGGGGCAUAUUUCCAACACUUCCAAUACCUACAGCGCCAUGGCAAGACCUCACCAUGGACUUUGUCGAGGGAUUACCCAAAUCUGA
This 438-nucleotide ribosomal RNA is filed under the name Triticum aestivum (bread wheat). RNAcentral's name for it is "partial small subunit ribosomal RNA". The record is from RNAcentral. Lineage: Eukaryota; Viridiplantae; Streptophyta; Magnoliopsida; Poales; Poaceae.